UCAGCCUACGGGAGGCAGCAGUGAGGAAUAUUGGUCAAUGGACGAGAGUCUGAACCAGCCAAGUAGCGUGAAGGAUGACUGCCCUAUGGGUUGUAAACUUCUUUUAUAUGGGAAUAAAAUGUUCCACGUGUGGGAUUUUGUAUGUACCAUAUGAAUAAGGAUCGGCUAACUCCGUGCCAGCAGCCGCGGUAAUACGGAGGAUCCGAGCGUUAUCCGGAUUUAUUGGGUUUAAAGGGAGCGUAGGUGGAUUGUUAAGUCAGUUGUGAACGUUAGCGGCUCGACCGUCAA
Molecule: ribosomal RNA, 288 nt
Filed under: uncultured bacterium
Lineage: Bacteria
Description: partial 16S ribosomal RNA
Rfam family: Bacterial small subunit ribosomal RNA
Source: RNAcentral